This is a long non-coding RNA of Xenia sp. Carnegie-2017, 278 nucleotides long. RefSeq lists it as uncharacterized. The record is from RefSeq and is a predicted model, not a curated record. NCBI's taxonomy places the organism in Eukaryota, Metazoa, Cnidaria, Anthozoa, Malacalcyonacea, Xeniidae. The transcript has 2 exons.
AAUAAUUCACGUUUAAAGCAAAAGUUUGCCGAAGUUUUUACAAAGAGUUGUCAUCUUGGGAAGGAGAUAAGCGGAAGUAUCUUGCUGAAAGGCGUGUCUUGCUUAGAAUUGGCUUCAGAAAAGUGGGGGACACGAACAUCAGAGGUUCCGACACGAGUGGACCUUCUGUCAAGAUAUCUAUUCUGUGCUUUUUCUUCGAACUAAUAGCGGCAACAUAUCAAUAAGAAUAAAACAAAAUUUAUUUGUAAAACGUGUAGCAAUUAUAGCUAUAUCUAGCA